GCCGGGGUGGCGGAAUGGCAGACGCUAGCGACUUAAAAUCGCUUGUCCGUGAGGGCGUGCGGGUUCGAGUCCCGCUCUCGGCACCA
Molecule: transfer RNA, 86 nt
Filed under: Bacillota bacterium
Lineage: Bacteria; Bacillati; Bacillota
Description: tRNA-Leu
Rfam family: tRNA
About the family: Transfer RNA (tRNA) molecules are approximately 80 nucleotides in length. Their secondary structure includes four short double-helical elements and three loops (D, anti-codon, and T loops).
Source: RNAcentral